AUGUCGAAUGGGCGCAGCCUGACGACGCAACCCCGCGUGGAGGAUGAAGGUCUUCGGAUUGCAAACUCCUGUUGCCCGGGACGAAUGGCUUCAACCUAAUACGUUGGAGUGUGACGGUACCGGGUGAGGAAGCCCCGGCUAACUCUGUGCCAGCAGCCGCGGUAAUACAGAGGGGGCAAGCGUUGUUCGGAAUUACUGGGCGUAAAGGGCGCGUAGGCGGCCUGCUAAGUCGAACGUGAAAUCCCUGGGCUCAACCCAGGAACUGCGUCCGAUACUGGUUGGCUUGAAUCCGGGAGAGGGAUGUGGAAUUCCAGGUGUAGCGGUGAAAUGCGUAGAUAUCUGGAGGAACACCGGUGGCGAAGGCGACAUCCUGGACCGGUAUUGACGCUGAGGCGCGAAAGCCAGGGGAGCAAACGGGAUUAGAUACCCCGGUAGUCCUGGCCCUAAACGAUGAAUGCUUGGUGUGGUGGGUAUCGAUCCCUACCGUGCCGAAGCUAACGCAUUAAGCAUUCCGCCUGGGGAGUACGGUCGCAAGGCUGAAACUCAAAGAAAUUGACGGA
Molecule: ribosomal RNA, 560 nt
Filed under: uncultured bacterium
Lineage: Bacteria
Description: bacterial SSU rRNA
Rfam family: Bacterial small subunit ribosomal RNA
Source: RNAcentral